Non-coding RNA from Paramuricea clavata, 234 nucleotides. NCBI's taxonomy places the organism in Eukaryota, Metazoa, Cnidaria, Anthozoa, Malacalcyonacea, Plexauridae. The record is from the annotation of a GenBank genome assembly.
GAAAUGGAAUUUCUAUUCAAUAUCACGUGACCAUAAACAGCCAAUUAAACGAUCAGAAUUCAAUAAGGUAUUAUAUAAUAAAUUCUACGACAUUUCUCGUACCAUAUUCUGGCGUUUCUUUUAUCUCUUUGCUGUAGUGGCUUACUUGUAAUGUACGUUAAUAUGAAGAAGCAGGAGAGAAAUUCUGCAGGAGGAACAAAUUGGUUCAAGUACUAUUUUCAUCGGUUUUGGAGG